This 941-nucleotide long non-coding RNA is filed under the name Ananas comosus (pineapple). Its description in RNAcentral is "long non-coding RNA (ACOM_LNC038348)". The record is from RNAcentral. Lineage: Eukaryota; Viridiplantae; Streptophyta; Magnoliopsida; Poales; Bromeliaceae.
AGUGUACACUGCUCUUUUAAUUUCUAAAAUUUAUAAAAAAUUUUAAAUUUUGAGUAUUUAAAAGUAAAAGAUUAGCAAGACAAAAAUUUAUUAUUGGUGCUUAGAUGAGUGGAUAUAAGAUAUACAUUAUCUUUUAGGGUGUACAGAUAGCAGUUAGGGGUGGAAACGAGCCGAGCCCGAGCGAGCUUGCCUCAGCUCAAAUUCAGCUUGAAAUUAAUUUCGAGCCUAAAUUUAAGCUCAAGCUCGGCUUGAAAUUAAUUCAAGCCGAGCUCGAGCGAGCCUAAUUUCGAGUCGAGCGAGCUCGAGCCCUAAGCGAGCCGCUUGAAAUUCUCAACAUUGUACGAUUAAUAAUUUAAUUUGUAUAGAACAUUAUUUAUAAUUUGAUACAAAAAUAUAUCUAAUAGUUCAAGAUACAAAAUAAUUAUAUGAAAUACGGUAUUAUAAUAUAAAGAAAAAUAAUUUACGAGUUGAAUAUCUAAUCUUUUCAGCUUCGCAUGUCUUCUCUUCCGCCUUCAAUUUUCAUAUUAUUCUUUUUCACCUAUGCGGUCAAAAAAUGAAUAAAUUUUAUAGACAAAUAUUAGAUUAAACUAUCUAAUUAUAUAUAACUAAAAUCAAAAUUUUAUAUAAAUAAUAAUUUUCUACCUUAAAAAUAUUCUGUAUAUUUUCUCAAGCACACAAUUAAUGGCAAGGUAGGCAACAGCGGGCGCGUGCUGUUACUUGAUAACUUGGGGGGCUUCAGGUUUGGCCGCUUGAGGAGAGAGAGAGAUUAGAAAUUUAAGGCUUUGUAAAAGAAAAGGAGGGAGAGAGUGUAAAUUUAGUAAAAUUUUAUCUUUUUGUUGGCAUAUUGGGUUUGUUCUUAUGGCCCAGCAAUAUUGGCUCAAUUUUAACUAAACUUAGGUUACUCACUUAGCCCCUAUAUAUAUAUAUAUAUAUAUAUAUAU